CCAAUAGCGUAUAUUAAAGUUGUUGCAGUUAAAAAGCUCGUAGUUGAAUUUCGGGGUUAGUAGGUCGGUCAUGCCUCAGGUAUGCACUGGUCUCACUGAUUCCUCCUUCCUGAUGAGCCGUAAUGCCAUUAAUUUGGUGUUGCGGGGAAUCUGGACUGUUACUUUGAAAAAAUUAGAGUGUUUAAAGCAGGCUAACGCUUGAAUACAUUAGCAUGGAAUAUGGGAAUAGGACGUUCGAUCCUAUUUUGUUGGUUUCUAGGAUUGACGUAAUGAUUAAUAGGGAUGGUUGAGGGCAUUAGGAUUCAAUUGUCAGAGGUGAAAUUCUUGGAUUUAUUGAAGACUAACUACUGCGAAAGCAUUUGCCAAGGAUGUUUUCAUUAAUCAAGAACGAAAGUUAGGGGAUCGAAGACGAUCAGCUACCGUCGUAGUCUUAACCAUAAACUAUGCCGACUAGGGAUCGGAUGAUGUUAAUUUUUUAAUGACUCAUUCGGCGCCUUACG
Molecule: ribosomal RNA, 500 nt
Filed under: uncultured Glomeromycotina
Lineage: Eukaryota; Fungi; Glomeromycota
Description: partial small subunit ribosomal RNA
Rfam family: Eukaryotic small subunit ribosomal RNA
Source: RNAcentral